UUUUUUUUUUUAAAAGUUGUACAGACCAGGACUUGGAUUAAAAAUGCAAAUCGGGGUAAGGAUGGUAAGAAAGAAGACAUUCCUGUAUUUUCACCAGUGAAAGAUCAUCACACUAAUCCUAACGAUUUCCUGGGGGAGUAUUAGGGUAAAGUAAGCAAAUACUUUCCACAAACAAGGAUUAUAAAGAGGCCCCAAGUUUAUGUAAUCAAGAUAAGGAAUAUUUUAAUGCAAUAUUUAAAAAGAGAAAAUUCUAAAUUUGAGGAACAAAAUCUCAAAUUAAAAAAAAGACAAUAUUGACCCUGUACUUGCAACUCCCUGAGAGUUUUUCAAAGGAAGCUUUCAAGUUGUCAUCGACAUUUGGGCAAAUUCCUUUUAAUUUAUAAAAUUCUUACCAAAAACGUUUUAAAAGGUCUGACCUACUACAUGUCCCAACAGCUUAUACAGGAAGUGAAAUCAUUUUUCAAACAAUACAGUCAAGGUGGAGUCCUGGAAACAGUCUUUCAGUAACCUGACUUAAAUAUCAUUAAAAAACUGUCACAGAGCCAGGAGAACAUGUCAAACAUGGAAAUUCUCUCAAUUAAUGCCAAGUUUUUAAAAAAUCUUGAAAAUAUUAAUAUUAAUUUAAGGCUUCCAUUAAAGUCUGGAAGGUAAAAUUACAUUAAAUGAUUGUUUUAGUUUAAAAUAAGUAAAGUUUUGGAGUUCCUAUGUGGCACAGCAGGUUAAGGAUCCAGCAUUGUCACUCACUGUGGUGGCUAGGGUCAUUGCUGAGUUCCAUCCCUGGCCCUGGCCUGGGAAAUUCCCUAUGCUAUAGGUAUGGCCAAUAAAAAAAAGUAUAGCACUGGAUAAUAUCAAGUCACUUAGGAUGGAGCAUGAUGGAGGAUCAUGUGAGAAAAAGAAUGUACCUAUGCAUGUGUGAUUGCGUCACUUUGCUGUACAGAAGAAAAUUGACAGAACACUGUAAACCAACUAUAAUGGAAAAAAAAUUUAAAGAAAUAAAUAAAAAUUUUAAAAAGUAAAAUUUAAAGUUUGAUAUAAUGCUGUUUUAAUAUUCAAAUAUAUUGUAAUAUUCUGUUUAAUAUUUUAAAAUAUUUCAAUAAAAUAUUAAAAUACAAAAAUAAUGUAGAAGUACUUAAAUUACGCAGAUAUAAAUGGAAUUAAAAAUAAAUUUAAUUAAAAAUAUUAAAAGUAAAAUGCUACGAGUUUUUAAACAUUCCUACUUUACAGUUCUUUAAUACUUUCUCCUCCACUUUAACGUUGUAGCCUUGAAAGACACCAGGAAAGUCACAGCGAAUCUAGGGGCACAGCUUCCCCAGCCUUAGCACCACUGUGGAGAGGAUCCAACUCAUACCCAAGGCAUCCCCAACGCCCCCCAACCCUCCCACCGCCAUCGCGUUCCCGUUUCUGUGAGCUGCACCUACACUGCGCCCGAAUCAGUAAAAUCGGCUACAAAUCGCUCUCGUUCUGAGCCGCACACCCCUCAGAUUCUUGGGUAAAAACGGCCUCGCUAAACUUUCUGUGCAAAAAUAACACAGAAAAUUCAGGCGAACGCUCAGAAAAUGCAAGGUUCCCAGAUCCCUACCAGACAGAAAUGUCGCUGGUCAAGCCGGGACUAGCCUCGCUCUUCAGCAGUCAGGGACUCAGAAAGGAAGGUUGUUCGUGCACUAUUAAAGCAGCACCAACUUGCUCCGUAAAGAUCAGCUCUCUCUCACUGCCAGCCUCACGGAAACUACAGCCUCUGAAAGUCCGUGUUUCCAAAACAAACCCCAUAAAAGGACAUCCUGCGCCCUCUUGCGGCCGCCUAGAGAAGCACCUUGCCCUGGGUUGGGGAAGGAACAAUGGGAUCUGAGCCUAGGCUGAGACCUACACAAACCAGGGCUCACAGCAAGGAUGGCUCCUUAACCCACUGAGCGAGGCUAGGGAUAGAACCUGCAACCUCAUGCUUCCUAGUCAGAGUCACUAAUCACCAAGCCACAACGGGAACUUCCAAUUUUGGUUCAAAAUAAGCAAAGUUUUGGAGUUCCUUUGUGGGGCAGCAGCUUAAGGAUCUUGGCAUUGUUACUGCCAUGGGUUGUAUCAUAGCUGUGGCUGAGGUUCCAUCCCUCGCCCUGGCCUGGAAACUUCCCCUUGCCAUGGGCUUGGCAAAAAAAAAAAAAAAAAAAAAAA
RNAcentral lists this long non-coding RNA (2163 nucleotides) under Sus scrofa (pig). RNAcentral's name for it is "lncRNA (ENSSSCG00045022736.1)". Lineage: Eukaryota; Metazoa; Chordata; Mammalia; Artiodactyla; Suidae. The record is from RNAcentral.